AGAUCCCAAAGUCUACAGCUAGUGGGGAAACAAGUCGCUUCCAAAUGAGGGAAGGGCGGCGGCGGCAGGGGGGUUGACUUACAAAAAAGGACAAAAGAGGCAGUUCCUACUUACAGAGGCCGGCGGCUGGAGAGAUGAAGCUGAGGGCAUAUCAUCAGAUGACUGCCAGAGAUGCGGCGAUCGUCACCAGGAAGAGGGGAAGGGAGGAAGACGGGCGCCAUGCGUGCGCACUCGGCGGCUGGGCGGGCGGCGGCGAGGUGGUGUCCAGCGGCGAUAUGGCGGCGUUCGGCGAGGCGGGGGGCAGCGGCGGCUCUACGACGUCGGCCUCCGUUAGAACUGGACUUGGCGGCGCCGCCGGCAAAGCGUCAGAAGGAAGUAAGCUGAACAAGGCCCCAGGCUGGACGGGAAACAUGUAUGGGGGCAUGUCCUUGCCAAGAUUCAAGCAAAGGUUUCCUGCAUCACAAUAGCAAGAUGA
RNAcentral lists this long non-coding RNA (475 nucleotides) under Spirodela polyrhiza (greater duckweed). RNAcentral's name for it is "long non-coding RNA (SPOL_LNC002209)". Lineage: Eukaryota; Viridiplantae; Streptophyta; Magnoliopsida; Alismatales; Araceae. The record is from RNAcentral.